RNAcentral lists this ribosomal RNA (572 nucleotides) under Acetobacter pasteurianus. RNAcentral's name for it is "bacterial SSU rRNA". It matches the Rfam family "Bacterial small subunit ribosomal RNA", at positions 99 to 704 of the family's 1533-position model. The record is from RNAcentral. Lineage: Bacteria; Pseudomonadati; Pseudomonadota; Alphaproteobacteria; Acetobacterales; Acetobacteraceae.
CGGACGGGUGAGUAACGCGUAGGUAUCUAUCCAUGGGUGGGGGAUAACACUGGGAAACUGGUGCUAAUACCGCAUGACACCUGAGGGUCAAAGGCGCAAGUCGCCUGUGGAGGAGCCUGCGUUUGAUUAGCUAGUUGGUGGGGUAAAGGCCUACCAAGGCGAUGAUCAAUAGCUGGUUUGAGAGGAUGAUCAGCCACACUGGGACUGAGACACGGCCCAGACUCCUACGGGAGGCAGCAGUGGGGAAUAUUGGACAAUGGGGGCAACCCUGAUCCAGCAAUGCCGCGUGUGUGAAGAAGGUCUUCGGAUUGUAAAGCACUUUCGACGGGGACGAUGAUGACGGUACCCGUAGAAGAAGCCCCGGCUAACUUCGUGCCAGCAGCCGCGGUAAUACGAAGGGGGCUAGCGUUGCUCGGAAUGACUGGGCGUAAAGGGCGUGUAGGCGGUUUGUACAGUCAGAUGUGAAAUCCCCGGGCUUAACCUGGGAGCUGCAUUUGAUACGUGCAGACUAGAGUGUGAGAGAGGGUUGUGGAAUUCCCAGUGUAGAGGUGAAAUUCGUAGAUAUUGGGAAG